RNAcentral lists this ribosomal RNA (477 nucleotides) under uncultured bacterium. Its description in RNAcentral is "SSU rRNA". It matches the Rfam family "Bacterial small subunit ribosomal RNA", at positions 26 to 523 of the family's 1533-position model. The record is from RNAcentral.
AGAACGAACGCUGGCGGCAUGCCUAACACAUGCAAGUCGAACGCUCUUGGGGCUUCGGUCUCAGGGGAGUGGCGCACGGGUGAGUAGCGCGUGGGAACCUGCCCUGUUGUGGGGGAUAACCGAGGGAAACUUCGGCUAAUACCGCAUAAGCCGGUUGUCUUGAAGGAGAUGGCCGGGAAAGAUUUAUCGCGACAGGAGGGGCCCGCGUCGGAUUAGCUAGUUGGUGGGGUAACGGCCCACCAAGGCGGUGAUCCGUAGCUGGUCUGAGAGGAUGAUCAGCCACACUGGGACUGAGACACGGCCCAGACUCCUACGGGAGGCAGCAGUGGGGGAAUAUUGGACAAUGGGCGCAAGCCUGAUCCAGCAAUGCCGCGUGAGUGAUGAAGGCCUUAGGGUUGUAAAGCUCUUUCGCCCGCGACGAUGAUGACGGUAGCGGGAGAGAAGCCCCGGCUAACUUCGUGCCAGCAGCCGCGGUAA